Long non-coding RNA from Canis lupus familiaris (dog), 661 nucleotides. RefSeq lists it as uncharacterized. The record is from RefSeq and is a predicted model, not a curated record. The transcript has 5 exons. NCBI's taxonomy places the organism in Eukaryota, Metazoa, Chordata, Mammalia, Carnivora, Canidae.
GAACUUGACUCAAGUGUCUGAAAUGAACUAAACUACCCUGGAAGGCCUGGAGAAUUUAUGUCCCAGGAGGCAAGAUAUAGGAAAUGGAGCAGUCCCUGACAACCACAACUCUAUUGCCUGUCUCUAUGACGUUGACUACUCUAGGGACUUCAUAGACAGAGAGAGAGAGAAGCAGGCGCUCCACUCAGGGAGCCCAACGCAGGACUCGAUCCCGGGUCUCCAGGAUCACACCCCGGGCUGCAGGCGGCGCUAAACCGCUGAGCCACCUGGGCUGCCCAGAUUUUAAGUGUGAGAGGCAAGAACAAAUUGUCCAUGGAAGCCCUCAGGACAGCAGAGGUGUUGCAUUGGGAGACUCUUAGACACCCACUCGGGACUGCCAGACUGGUGGCCUGGAAAACAACUCUCAUUCAGAGUUUAAAAAAGGCUUAAAACACAAAUGUGAAGAAAUUGAAGCUUAACGUGAUCAACAUCUGUGCUCUGGCUUAGGAAUUAGUGUCAAAGAUGAACUUGGACAUAAAUACUCAGAUCCCAGGUUCUUGGGUAUGUGGUCAGCCCUUCCUGCCUCCAUAUCUAAGGCUAUUUCUGCUUCUGGAGCCAAACAACCAAGCUGUAAGGAGACUGCGGAUGAGGAGGUAACCAAGUGCCUGCAGCCAGUCGUGAG